This 231-nucleotide ribosomal RNA is filed under the name uncultured bacterium. RNAcentral's name for it is "partial 16S ribosomal RNA". It matches the Rfam family "Bacterial small subunit ribosomal RNA", at positions 118 to 347 of the family's 1533-position model. The record is from RNAcentral.
UGAGCAACCUGCCCUUGACUCUGGAAUAACAGUUGGAAACAGCUGCUAAUACCGGAUAUGACUCCUCAUCGCAUGGUGGGGGUGGAAAGCUUUAUUGUGGUUUUGGAUGGACUCGCGGCCUAUCAGCUUGUUGGUGAGGUAAUGGCUCACCAAGGCGACGACGGGUAGCCGGCCUGAGAGGGUGACCGGCCACACUGGGACUGAGACACGGCCCAGACCUCCGUAGGGAGG